This 211-nucleotide unclassified non-coding RNA is filed under the name Glomeraceae sp. RNAcentral's name for it is "partial contains 5.8S ribosomal RNA and internal transcribed spacer 2". The stretch from base 1 to 72 matches the Rfam family "5.8S ribosomal RNA", at positions 84 to 154 of the family's 154-position model. Lineage: Eukaryota; Fungi; Glomeromycota; Glomeromycetes; Glomerales; Glomeraceae. The record is from RNAcentral.
GUGAAUCAUCGAAUUUUUGAACGCAAAUUGCACUCUCCGGUUUUCCGGGAGAGUAUGCCUGUUUGAGGGUCUGUUUAAAAAAUAAUCGGGGCUGCUGCUGUGUUGGCCCUUCGGAAUUGGGCCAUCUUCCCCCUUUCGGGGUUGUAAGCGACCUAAAUUUUUUCUUCCUAUUUCUCCGACCGUUUCUACGAAUUUCUUUUCCUUUCGCGCC